GGUAAAAUGACUGAAAUUUAGGUGAUAAACUGUAAAUUUAUUAAUGAGAUAAAUAAAUCUCUUUUACCA
This 69-nucleotide transfer RNA is filed under the name Leucochrysa pretiosa. RNAcentral's name for it is "tRNA-Tyr". The record is from RNAcentral. Lineage: Eukaryota; Metazoa; Arthropoda; Insecta; Neuroptera; Chrysopidae.